AACGCUAGCUACAGGCUUAACACAUGCAAGUCGAGGGGCAGCAUGAAUUUACUUCGGUAGAUUUGAUGGCGACCGGCGCACGGGUGCGUAACGCGUAUCCAACCUUCCCGUUACUCCGGGAUAGCCUUCCGAAAGGGAGAUUAAUACCGGAUGGUGUUUGAAGUCCGCAUGAAAUUCAAACUAAAGAUUUAUCGGUAACGGAUGGGGAUGCGUACCAUUAGAUAGUAGGCGGGGUAACGGCCCACCUAGUCUACGAUGGUUAGGGGUUCUGAGAGGAAGGUCCCCCACACUGGAACUGAGACACGGUCCAGACUCCUACGGGAGGCAGCAGUGAGGAAUAUUGGUCAAUGGCCGUAAGGCUGAACCAGCCAAGUAGCGUGAAGGAUGAAGGUUCUAUGGAUUGUAAACUUCUUUUAUACGGGAAUAACACCAUCUACGUGUAGAUGUCUGCAUGUACCGUAUGAAUAAGCAUCGGCUAACUCCGUGCCAGCAGCCGCGGUAAUACGGAGGAUGCGAGCGUUAUCCGGAUUUAUUGGGUUUAAAGGGAGCGUAGACGGGAUGUUAAGUCAGUUGUGAAAUGCUGUGGCUCAACCAUAGCACUGCAGUUGAUACUGGCGUUCUUGAGUGCGGUUGAGGUGUGUGGAAUUCGUGGUGUAGCGGUGAAAUGCUUAGAUAUCACGAAGAACUCCGAUUG
This 694-nucleotide ribosomal RNA is filed under the name uncultured Bacteroidales bacterium. RNAcentral's name for it is "bacterial SSU rRNA". It matches the Rfam family "Bacterial small subunit ribosomal RNA", at positions 32 to 715 of the family's 1533-position model. Lineage: Bacteria; Pseudomonadati; Bacteroidota; Bacteroidia; Bacteroidales. The record is from RNAcentral.